Molecule: non-coding RNA, 76 nt
Filed under: Foraminifera environmental sample
Lineage: Eukaryota; Foraminifera
Source: RNAcentral
UCAACAGUGUCCAUCACCACCGAUGUCCUUCGUCGUACGCGCGAUCACGUGGUUAUUGCUGGCGCACAUUUCCGCG